This 514-nucleotide long non-coding RNA is filed under the name Prunus dulcis (almond). RNAcentral describes it as "sRNA ncRNA". Lineage: Eukaryota; Viridiplantae; Streptophyta; Magnoliopsida; Rosales; Rosaceae. The record is from RNAcentral.
UAUAUGGAAAUGUUGAAACUUUCAAGGAAAAGGUGGAAAUAGAUGAAGCAAACAAGUUGGUGAGUCUUACUGCUUUGGAAGGAUCACAUGUGUUGGACAACUACAAAAGCUAUAAGAUCAUUCUCCAGGUCACUCCAAAGAGUGAAGGAGGUUUGGUGAAAAUUACCCUAGAAUAUCGAAGACUUAAUGAGAACGAUCCGCCUCCACAUAAGUACAUCCGGUUUUUUGGUCAAUGUCAUUCAAGAUAUUGAUGCACAUCUUCUUAAGGAAUAAUUACAACAACAAGACAACAAGAUUUAUGCGCGCAACUUUGAAGGAUAUAUGUAAUAAAAUAAGGGUAAGCUAUCCUGGUUGUUUAGUACCGUUUCGGACUUGCAAUUUCUAUCUUGGAAUUUAUAGACAAGAAUGAAUUGAAUUGUGUGCAAUAUAUAAGUAUAUUGAUUGUGUGUGAACAAGUUUUCCUGGGUGUAUUAACUCAUCCAAAAGAAUAAAUUAUGAUCAGUAUAUUGUGCUA